UACGGAGGGGACUAGCGUUGUUCGGAAUUACUGGGCGUAAAGCGCACGUAGGCGGAUUUGUAAGUCAGGGGUGAAAUCCCGGGGCUCAACCUCGGAACUGCCUUUGAUACUGCAAAUCUCGAGUCCGGAAGAGGUGAGUGGAAUUCCUAGUGUAGAGGUGAAAUUCGUAGAUAUUAGGAAGAACACCAGUGGCGAAGGCGGCUCACUGGUCCGGUACUGACGCUGAGGCGCGAAAGCUAGGGGAGCAAACGGG
Molecule: ribosomal RNA, 253 nt
Filed under: uncultured bacterium
Lineage: Bacteria
Description: partial 16S ribosomal RNA
Rfam family: Bacterial small subunit ribosomal RNA
Source: RNAcentral